Leucoraja erinaceus (little skate) is the source of this 182-nucleotide small nuclear RNA. RefSeq annotates it as U2 spliceosomal RNA. The record is from RefSeq and is a predicted model, not a curated record. NCBI's taxonomy places the organism in Eukaryota, Metazoa, Chordata, Chondrichthyes, Rajiformes, Rajidae. The transcript has a single exon.
AUCGCUCUCAGCCUUGACUAAGAUCAAGUGGAGUAUCUGUUGCUGUUAGUUCUAUUUUGACUCGUCCCUUAUCAAGGAACCAUAUAUCAAUUGAUUUGGAACAGGGAGAUGGGGAGGGGCUUGCUCCGUCCACUCCACGCAUCAACCAGUAUUGCAGUACCUUUAAAUAUAAAUCCUCUACU